RNAcentral lists this ribosomal RNA (253 nucleotides) under uncultured bacterium. RNAcentral's name for it is "partial 16S ribosomal RNA". It matches the Rfam family "Bacterial small subunit ribosomal RNA", at positions 524 to 776 of the family's 1533-position model. The record is from RNAcentral.
UACGGGGGGGGCAAGCGUUGUUCGGAAUUACUGGGCGUAAAGGGCUCGUAGGCGGCCAACUAAGUCGGAUGUGAAAUCCCCAAGCUUAACUUGGGAACUGCAUCCGAUACUGGAUGGCUUGAAUCCGGGAGAGGGAUGCAGAAUUCCAGGUGUAGCGGUGAAAUGCGUAGAUAUCGUUUGGAACGCCAAUGGUGAAAACAGCUCGCUGGGGGUGCGCUGACACUGAGACACGAAAGCCAGGGGAGCAAACGGG